RNAcentral lists this long non-coding RNA (430 nucleotides) under Sorghum bicolor (sorghum). RNAcentral's name for it is "long non-coding RNA (SBIC_LNC006150)". Lineage: Eukaryota; Viridiplantae; Streptophyta; Magnoliopsida; Poales; Poaceae. The record is from RNAcentral.
AAGUAUCAAUUUUAAUUAUCAAAUAAACAAGAGAAAGGACCAAUAUGCAAACAACACCUAGAAUUAGGGUUUGAUCUGACAGAAUUCCACGAGUUUUGUUGUUUAUCUGUUUCUGCAGGGGGUUAUCAGGAAAUAAGAAAGAAAGACCCACAUGUCGGGAUUACAUAGAGAUAUCAAGGCACCGCGCGAUUUUCUACCAUCUAGAAGACUCCAGAAGCCACGAGAAGAAAGCAGAGGCCGAAAGGGGCCAGGCCCAGGGCGCCCGCCCUGAGGACCUGGGUGCCCGCCCUCUCCUGUACUCCGUUCGGGACUCUCUUCGCACACGAUGUUCCACCAACCUAAUGGAUCAAAGAUAAUGUAGUACCACCUCGCCUACCGACCCAAAAACGCAUAGAGGAGGAGGACUAUAUAAGGAGACCCCCCUGGCCCC